AACACCGUAAUUUCAUCUUAAAAAUUGGAUGAUAGGGUGAUUAAAUAAUAAUGGAAAAGUAAAUCACUUGGAUAAUAGGUCAAAAUGCAACACAAAUGAACGUUAAUAGUGCUAUUAAUAUCAAAGUUUCGGUAAAAAGUUUGGCGCUAGUUCAACGCGCAUCGUAUACAGCCUCAUAACAAUAGACUGACAACCUUUUGGGUAGUAAAGUAGUAAUACAAGGCAAUAUGGCGACCGUUGGCCACGAGGCCUAUCUUACGGAGGAAUCCGAGAUAGCCGAUGUAUCACGAUUGCGAAAAUGUACUGCGAGUCGAAAGCACGCGACCGAGCAAUAGCGGCCAGCGUCUGUCAGUUGUAAAUAUUGACUUACGACGAUGUAAGCGACCUACAGUGCAGAGUGCAUUAGAAAUCACCGAAGCGUGCAACUAGAAUGGAUUGUGGCAAUUAUCUGGGCC
Molecule: long non-coding RNA, 455 nt
Organism: Dreissena polymorpha
Lineage: Eukaryota; Metazoa; Mollusca; Bivalvia; Myida; Dreissenidae
Exons: 2
Source: RefSeq, a predicted model, not a curated record